This 206-nucleotide ribosomal RNA is filed under the name uncultured bacterium. RNAcentral's name for it is "partial 16S ribosomal RNA". It matches the Rfam family "Bacterial small subunit ribosomal RNA", at positions 153 to 353 of the family's 1533-position model. The record is from RNAcentral.
GAAAGGAAGAUUAAUACCGCAUAAGAUUGUAGUAUCGCAUGAUAUAGCAAUUAAAGGAAGCAAUUCGCUAUAAGAUGGACCCGCGUCGCAUUAGCUAGUUGGUGAGGUAAUGGCUCACCAAGGCGACGAUGCGUAGCCGACCUGAGGAGGGUGAUCGGCCACAUUGGGACUGAGACACGGCCCAGACUCCUACGGGAGGCAGCAUG